Oncorhynchus keta (chum salmon) is the source of this 1370-nucleotide long non-coding RNA. RefSeq lists it as uncharacterized. The transcript is spliced from 4 exons. Lineage: Eukaryota; Metazoa; Chordata; Actinopteri; Salmoniformes; Salmonidae. The record is from RefSeq and is a predicted model, not a curated record.
UUUAUUCAUUCUCACAUUGACCUAGUGUACUGUAGGUAGGUGUACAUAUGCUUUAUUCAUUCUCACAUUGACCUAGUGUACUGUAGGUAGGUGUACAUAUGCUUUAUUCAUUCUCACAUUGACCUAGUGUACUGUAGGUAGGUGUACAUAUGCUUUAUUCAUUCUCACAUUGACCUAGUGUACUGUAGGUAGGUGUACAUAUGCUUUAUUCAUUCUCACAUUGACCUAGUGUACUGUAGGUAGGUGUACAUAUGCUUUAUUCAUUCUCACAUUGACCUAGUGUACUGUAGGUAGGUGUACAUAUGCUUUAUUCAUUCUCACAUUGACCUAGUGUACUGUAGGUAGGUGUACAUAUGCUUUAUUCAUUCUCACAUUGACCUAGUGUACUGUAGGUAGGUGUACAUAUGCUUUAUUCAUUCUCACAUUGACCUAGUGUACUGUAGGUAGGUGUACAUAUGCUUUAUUCAUUCUCACAUUGACCUAGUGUACUGUAGGUAGGUGUACAUAUGCUUUAUUCAUUCUCACAUUGACCUAGUGUACUGUAGGUAGGUGUACAUAUGCUUUAUUCAUUCUCACAUUGACCUAGUGUACUGUAGGUAGGUGUACAUAUGCUUUAUUCAUUCUCACAUUGACCUAGUGUACUGUAGGUAGGUGUACAUAUGCUUUAUUCAUUCUCACAUUGACCUAGUGUACUGUAGGUAGGUGUACAUAUGCUUUAUUCAUUCUCACAUUGACCUAGUGUACUGUAGGUAGGUGUACAUAUGCUUUAUUCAUUCUCACAUUGACCUAGUGUACUGUAGGUAGGUGUACAUAUGCUUUAUUCAUUCUCACAUUGACCUAGUGUACUGUAGGUAGGUGUACAUAUGCUUUAUUCAUUCUCACAUUGACCUAGUGUACUGUAGGUAGGUGUACAUAUGCUUUAUUCAUUCUCACAUUGACCUAGUGUACUGUAGGUAGGUGUACAUAUGCUUUAUUCAUUCUCACAUUGACCUAGUGUACUGUAGGUAGGUGUACAUAUGCUUUAUUCAUUCUCACAUUGACCUAGUGUACUGUAGGUAGGUGUACAUAUGCUUUAUUCAUUCUCACAUUGACCUAGUGUACUGUAGGUAGGUGUACAUAUGCUUUAUUCAUUCUCACAUUGACCUAGUGUACUGUAGGUAGGUGUACAUAUGCUUUAUUCAUUCUCACAUUGACCUAGUGUACUGUAGGUAGGUGUACAUAUGCUUUAUUCAUUCUCACAUUGACCUAGUGUACUGUAGGUAGGUGUACAUAUGCUUUAUUCAUUCUCACAUUGACCUAGUGUACUGUAGGUAGGUGUACAUAUGCUUUAUUCAUUCUCACAUUGACCUAGUGUACUGUAGGUAGGUGUA